GCUGCUUGGCCCCUCCUUGCUCUCUUUAAGCCCUUACCUGACCCAUCCAGCAGGUCCAGUUAUUCGAGGGUCUCGAGGGGACCUUCUUCUAAGAACCAAAUGGGGGUGGGGGGGGGGGGAGAAGGACGGACACCAAGUGCAAGGAACGACACGUAAACAGUCUGAGAAGCAUCAAGGUGUCAGUGUAUUCAGCAAGGCUCAAGGCUUAAAUGUACAAGCAAAAGGGGAAGUACUUCUCAGCAGGAGGGAUGGGGCAGCAGAAAUUUUUCUUUUGACGACUACACAGGGGAAACAGGAACUUGGUGGUAUCAGGGUACAUCUUGUGGUCAGGACAUCCGGCGCUGACUUAGGGCUGGAACAUUCUGUGGUUGUUCUCGGAGCGGUGCGUCGGUGGCCCGCUUUUGACCACCUUUUCUUCUCGGGUGGAGAGGCCCAAUUCAGAGAUCAUGACAAUAGUGUUGUCUUAAUAGCUCCCAACACUUACCUUUCCUACUCUCAUCUCUAGCCCUCCUUCUCUCUCUCCUUUCCCCCUUCUCUCCAUGUGGCCAUGGCCAGCCUCUCUCUUUCUACUUUCUCUUCUUCUCCUUCCUUUCUACAAUGAAACUCUAAAACCAUAGACUGUCUCUGCUCAUCAAGACCCACUGUGCUUGAACGAUGGGAUAGGCUUUCCCCUAAUGAGCAGCGUCUAACCUCCCACCAGAAAGCCUUCCUACACUCCAGCCAUGGGACCAGGGACUCACACCCGUGUAGAAACCACCCAGCACACCUCUCCCCCUGCCCUCUCCUCCCUUUGGCCCCAGGGCUGACGAGUGGCCCCCUGGGGCCCCCAUUUGUUCUCAGCUCCUCCACAGUAUCCAGCAUGGGAUGCUAGAGACCGAGAACCUGUUAUCUAGGACUGCUCCUUGUCCAACCUAGCUGGGAAUUCAUGGCUUCACACAGCCAGACACCCACCCAAGGCCGUGUGGAAAGCAUGCAGCAGUCCUUCCAUGUCCACCUGCCCAGAGCACCGGAACUCUGGUGGGAAACAAGUUUUCUCCCACUCCACUUUCCCCCACACCCACUGCCCCACACAUGGCUGUGAGGUUCACAGCUUAGAAUGUAAGGGAUAUGCUUCUGUGUAUCCUGGUUAUCCUGGAACUCACUCUAUAGACCAGACUGGCCUCAAACUCAGAAAUCUACCUUCCUCUGCUUUCCAAGUGCUGGGACUAAAGGCACAUGCCAUCAUACCCAGAAGAUACGUUUAUCUUACUGCAUUGUCAUGCAUCAUAUUACAGAUACUUAUCAACUGGCUGACUCAUUGGCAGAUGCUUGCAUUUCCUAAAAUGGAGUUGAAUGUGAAUUAUAACUUCCACUGCAAAUAGGUCAGUGUGUGAAGUACAUCGAUUUUUAUGCCUUAUUAUUUGGGGGUAAAUUGUAAAAUAAUUGCCUGAGUUUUCACUGCUGAGGUCGAAAGAAGGUUUAAAAUGCCUUUGUUGUUCCAUGAAUAACAGAAAAUGCAUAAAACAUAAGUGUGCAGUUAAGGAGUAUUUGUAAAGUGGAACUUGUGUAAACAGUAUGUGGGUCAAGGCAAAGGGCACCGCCAGGCAGUAUCUUAGCUGGUUCACCUUUUCAGUUACAGCUUU
Long non-coding RNA from Mus spicilegus (steppe mouse), 1622 nucleotides. The record is from Ensembl. NCBI's taxonomy places the organism in Eukaryota, Metazoa, Chordata, Mammalia, Rodentia, Muridae.